AACCCGAGAACCUGUCUCAGUUCGGAUUGGAGUCUGCAACCCGACUCCAUGAAGCUGGAUUCGCUAGUAAUCGCGCAUCAGCCACGGCGCGGUGAAUACGUUCCCGGGCCUUGUACACACCGCCCGUCAAGCCAUGGAAGCCGGGAGUGCCUGAAGUGCGUGACCGCAAGGAGCGUCCUAAGGCAAUACCGGUGACUGGGCUAAGUCGUAACAAGGUAUC
Molecule: ribosomal RNA, 220 nt
Filed under: uncultured bacterium
Lineage: Bacteria
Description: partial 16S ribosomal RNA
Rfam family: Bacterial small subunit ribosomal RNA
Source: RNAcentral